AACUUCCGUUAAUUGAUCAGGACGUGCUUGCACUGAAUGAGAUUUUAACACGAAGUGAGUGGCGGACGGGUGAGUAACACGUGGGUAACCUGCCCAGAAGCAGGGGAUAACACCUGGAAACAGAUGCUAAUACCGUAUAACAGAGAAAACCGCCUGGUUUUCUUUUAAAAGAUGGCUCUGCUAUCACUUCUGGAUGGACCCGCGGCGCAUUAGCUAGUUGGUGAGGUAACGGCUCACCAAGGCGAUGAUGCGUAGCCGACCUGAGAGGGUAAUCGGCCACAUUGGGACUGAGACACGGCCCAGACUCCUACGGGAGGCAGCAGUAGGGAAUCUUCCACAAUGGACGCAAGUCUGAUGGAGCAACGCCGCGUGAGUGAAGAAGGGUUUCGGCUCGUAAAGCUCUGUUGUUAAAGAAGAACGUGGGUGAGAGUAACUGUUCACCCAGUGACGGUAUUUAACCAGAAAGCCACGGCUAACUACGUGCCAGCAGCCGCGGUAAUACGUAGGUGGCAAGCGUUAUCCGGAUUUAUUGGGCGUAAAGCGAGCGCAGGCGGUCUUUUAAGUCUAAUGUGAAAGCCUUCGGCUCAACCGAAGAAGUGCAUUGGAAACUGGGAGACUUGAGUGCAGAAGAGGACAGUGGAACUCCAUGUGUAGCGGUGAAAUGCGUAGAUAUAUGGAAGAACACCAGUGGCGAAGGCGGCUGUCUGGUCUGUAACUGACGCUGAGGCUCGAAAGCAUGGGUAGCGAACAGGAUUAGAUACCCUGGUAGUCCAUGCCGUAAACGAUGAUUACUAAGUGUUGGAGGGUUUCCGCCCUUCAGUGCUGCAGCUAACGCAUUAAGUAAUCCGCCUGGGGAGUACGACCGCAAGGUUGAAACUCAAAAGAAUUGACGGGGGCCCGCACAAGCGGUGGAGCAUGUGGUUUAAUUCGAAGCUACGCGAAGAACCUUACCAGGUCUUGACAUCUUCUGCCAACCUAAGAGAUUAGGCGUUCCCUUCGGGGACAGAAUGACAGGUGGUGCAUGGUUGUCGUCAGCUCGUGUCGUGAGAUGUUGGGUUAAGUCCCGCAACGAGCGCAACCCUUAUUACUAGUUGCCAGCAUUCAGUUGGGCACUCUAGUGAGACUGCCGGUGACAAACCGGAGGAAGGUGGGGACGACGUCAAAUCAUCAUGCCCCUUAUGACCUGGGCUACACACGUGCUACAAUGGAUGGUACAACGAGUUGCGAAACCGCGAGGUUUAGCUAAUCUCUUAAAACCAUUCUCAGUUCGGACUGUAGGCUGCAACUCGCCUACACGAAGUCGGAAUCGCUAGUAAUCGCGGAUCAGCAUGCCGCGGUGAAUACGUUCCCGGGCCUUGUACACACCGCCCGUCACACCAUGAGAGUUUGUAACACCCAAAGCCGGUGGGGUAACCUUUAG
This 1420-nucleotide ribosomal RNA is filed under the name Pediococcus acidilactici. RNAcentral describes it as "bacterial SSU rRNA". It matches the Rfam family "Bacterial small subunit ribosomal RNA". The record is from RNAcentral. Lineage: Bacteria; Bacillati; Bacillota; Bacilli; Lactobacillales; Lactobacillaceae.